UUCCGGUUGAUCCUGCCGGACCUGACUGCUAUCGGAUUGAUACUAAGCCAUGCGAGUCGCGAGUCUUAGGGACUCGGCGUACCGCUCAGUAACACGUGGGUAACCUGCCCUAUGCUGGGGGAUAACCUCGGGAAACUGAGAAUAAUACCCCAUAGUUCACCACGCCUGGAACGGUGGGUGGAUCAAAGCUCCGGCGGCAUAGGAUGGGCCUGCGGCGUAUCAGGUUGUAGGGGGUGUAAUGUACCCUCUAGCCCUCUACGCGUACGGGUGUUGAGAGACAUCGCCCGGAGAUGGAUUCUGAGACACGAAUCCAGACCCCACGGGGUGCAGCAGGCGCGAAAACUUGGCAAUGCGAGAAAUCGUGACCAGGGAACUCCAAGUGCAUCGGGUAAGACCGAUGCUUUUCUUGACUCUUCAAAGGUCUUGGAAUAAGGGGUGGGUAAGGACGGUGCCAGCCGCCGCGGUAAUACCGGCGCCCCAAGUGGUAGUCGCUUUUAUUGGGCCUAAAACGUCCGUAGCCGGUCUGGUACAUUCGUGGGUAAAUCAACCAGCUCAACUGGUUGAAUUCUGCGAGCACGGCCAGACUUGGGACCGGGAGAGGUGUGGGGUACUCUCAGGGUAGGGGUAAAAUCCUGUCAUCCUGAGAGGACCACCUGUUGCGAAGGCGCCACACUAGAACGGAUCCGACGGUCAGGGACGAAGCCUAGGGGCACGAACCGGAUUAGAUACCCGGGUAGUCCUAGGUGUAAACGCUGUGGACUUGAUGUUGGGGGCGCUCCGAGCGCACUCAGUGUCGAAGCGAAGGUGAUAAGUCCACUGCCUGGGGAGUACGGUCGCAAGGCUGAAACUUAAAGGAAUUGGCGGGGGAGCACCGCAACCUGAGGAUUGUGCGGUUUAAUUGGAGUCAACGCCGG
RNAcentral lists this ribosomal RNA (914 nucleotides) under uncultured marine archaeon. RNAcentral's name for it is "bacterial SSU rRNA". It matches the Rfam family "Archaeal small subunit ribosomal RNA", at positions 1 to 921 of the family's 1478-position model. The record is from RNAcentral.